GACGAACGCUGGCGGCGUGCUUAACACAUGCAAGUCGAACGGAAAGGCCCUGCUUUUGUGGGGUGCUCGAGUGGCGAACGGGUGAGUAACACGUGAGUAACCUGCCCUUGACUUUGGGAUAACUUCAGGAAACUGGGGCUAAUACCGGAUAGGAGCUCCUGCUGCAUGGUGGGGGUUGGAAAGUUUCGGCGGUUGGGGAUGGACUCGCGGCUUAUCAGCUUGUUGGUGGGGUAGUGGCUUACCAAGGCUUUGACGGGUAGCCGGCCUGAGAGGGUGACCGGGCACAAUGGGACUGAGGUACGGCCCAGAAUCCUACGGGGGGCAGCAGUGGGGAAUAUUGGACAAUGGGCGGAAGCCUGAUGCAGCAACGCCGCGUGCGGGAUGACGGCCUUCGGGUUGUAAACCGCUUUCGCCUGUGACGAAGCGUGAGUGACGGUAAGGGGUAAAGAAGCACCGGCUAACUAAGUGC
This 469-nucleotide ribosomal RNA is filed under the name uncultured bacterium. Its description in RNAcentral is "partial 16S ribosomal RNA". It matches the Rfam family "Bacterial small subunit ribosomal RNA", at positions 28 to 508 of the family's 1533-position model. The record is from RNAcentral.